CGCAAGCCUGAUGCAGCCAUGCCGCGUGUGUGAAGAAGGCCUUCGGGUUGUAAAGCACUUUCAGCAGUGAGGAAAGGUUAGUAGUUAAUACCUGCUAGCUGUGACGUUAACUGCAGAAGAAGCACCGGCUAACUCCGUGCCAGCAGCCGCGGUAAUACGGAGGGUGCGAGCGUUAAUCGGAAUUACUGGGCGUAAAGCGUACGCAGGCGGUUGAUUAAGCGAGAUGUGAAAGCCCCGGGCUCAACCUGGGAACUGCAUUUCGAACUGGUCAACUAGAGUGUGAUAGAGGGUGGUAGAAUUUCAGGUGUAGCGGUGAAAUGCGUAGAGAUCUGAAGGAAUACCGAUGGCGAAGGCAGCCACCUGGGUCAACACUGACGCUCAUGUACGAAAGCGUGGGGAGCAAACGGGAUUAGAUACCCCGGUAGUCCACGCCGUAAACGAUGUCUACUAGGAGUUCGGUUUUUCGGAACUGUCUUCCAAAGCUAACGCAUUAAGUAGACCGCCUGG
Molecule: ribosomal RNA, 507 nt
Filed under: Pseudoalteromonas sp. SF0914-7
Lineage: Bacteria; Pseudomonadati; Pseudomonadota; Gammaproteobacteria; Alteromonadales; Pseudoalteromonadaceae
Description: bacterial SSU rRNA
Rfam family: Bacterial small subunit ribosomal RNA
Source: RNAcentral